This 555-nucleotide long non-coding RNA is filed under the name Olea europaea subsp. europaea. The record is from RNAcentral. Lineage: Eukaryota; Viridiplantae; Streptophyta; Magnoliopsida; Lamiales; Oleaceae.
AUCUAUUAAUUUCACACGUGAGGGGUGAUUUCUUGGUUUCAUCCAGUCAUUAAUAACUUGAUUCUUUUUAGAUAAUAGUAGAUAGAGACAACGAUUGUAAGGAGUCCUAUUAAAAUCAAGGAAUAUAGGCCUGCUUGCCAUCCAUACAAGAAUAAAUAGAGUUUUUCAGAAAACCUGCUAGUGGAGGAAGACUUCCUAGGAAUAAGAGACAUAGAGUUAAAGAGAGAGCCAAAAAAGGAUCUUUUGUGUAUAAUCCUGCAUAAUCCCGAAUGUUAUCAAUUUCGGUACGUAGACCAAAUAAUACAAUGCAAGCAAAAGUUCUUAAAUUCAUGGAGAUAUAGAACAGCAUAUACAUUUCAUGCUUGUUUGAGAAAUAGCAAUGAUAUUUCCCAAUAUCAUGCUAAGAAUAGUUAGGAUUUCCAGAAGAAAAUGUCAUUCGUUUGAUGAGAAAUAAAAGGGAAUAUCGAAAAUUCAAGUGGCUGAAGCUGAAGCAACUACUUUCGAAGUAACAGAAAGAAAAGCAAUUACUGGAUGGAAUUCCCCAAGAAAAGUUAG